GACGAACGCUGGCGGCGUGCUUAACACAUGCAAGUCGAACGGCAAGGCCCUGCUUUUGUGGGGUGCUCGCGUGGCGCACGGGUGAGUAACACGUGAGUAACCUGCCCUUGCCUUUGGGAUAACUUCAGGAAACUGGGGCUAAUACCGGAUAGGAGCUCCUGCUGCAUGGUGGGGGUUGGAAAGUUUCGGCGGUUGGGGAUGGACUCGCGGCUUAUCAGCUUGUUGGUGGGGUAGUGGCUUACCAAGGCUUUGUCGGGUAGCGGGCCUGGGCGGGUGACCGGCCACAGUAGGACAGAGGUACGGCCCAGCCUGGAACGGGGGGCAGCGGUGGGAAAUAUUGCACAAGGGUCGGAAGCCUAGCGCUGCGACGCCGCGUGCGGAAUGGCGGCCUUCGGGUUGUAAACCGCUUUCGCCUUGGACGAAGCGAGAGUGACGGUAAUGGGUAAAGAAGCACCGGCUAACUACGUG
Molecule: ribosomal RNA, 468 nt
Filed under: uncultured bacterium
Lineage: Bacteria
Description: partial 16S ribosomal RNA
Rfam family: Bacterial small subunit ribosomal RNA
Source: RNAcentral